Molecule: ribosomal RNA, 448 nt
Filed under: uncultured bacterium
Lineage: Bacteria
Description: bacterial SSU rRNA
Rfam family: Bacterial small subunit ribosomal RNA
Source: RNAcentral
UCGAGAAUUUUUGACAAUGGGGGAAACCCUGAUCGAGCGACGCCGCGUGGAGGAUGAAGGUCUUCGGGUUGUAAACUCCUGUCAUUUGGGAACAAGGCGUAUUUAUUAACUGUAAGUACGUUGAUAGUACCAGAAGAGGAAGAGACGGCUAACUCUGUGCCAGCAGCCGCGGUAAUACAGAGGUCUCAAGCGUUGUUCGGAUUCAUUGGGCGUAAAGGGUGUGUAGGUGGCGCGCUAAGUCGGGUGUGAAAUUUCGGAGCUUAACUCCGAAACUGCAUUCGAUACUGGCGUGCUUGAGGACUGGAGAGGAGACUGGAAUUUACGGUGUAGCAGUGAAAUGCGUAGAUAUCGUAAGGAAGACCAGUGGCGAAGGCGGGUCUCUGGACAGUUCCUGACACUGAGACACGAAGGCCAGGGGAGCAAACGGGAUUAGAUACCCCUGUAGUCC